GCGGGAGUAGCUUAGUGGUAGAGCGCAACCUUGCCAAGGUUGAGGUCGAGGGUUCGAUCCCCUUCUUCCGCUC
This 73-nucleotide transfer RNA is filed under the name Candidatus Mesenet longicola. RNAcentral describes it as "tRNA-Gly". It matches the Rfam family "tRNA". From Rfam's summary of the family: Transfer RNA (tRNA) molecules are approximately 80 nucleotides in length. Their secondary structure includes four short double-helical elements and three loops (D, anti-codon, and T loops). The record is from RNAcentral. Lineage: Bacteria; Pseudomonadati; Pseudomonadota; Alphaproteobacteria; Rickettsiales; Anaplasmataceae.